GAAAAUUUGAAGCUCUGCUUCAGAAACACUGUGUGCACCGUUUUCUGUCUCUGGCAGGACCAGGGAAGCAGCAAUGCUACCCCCCUGCCAAAGGAGAGGGGACUCCCCUCGUGGGAGACCCCGCUUCUGUUGAUAAACACUUUGUCUGUUUUUAUUCUGUCUGAAACCUUUCUUCACCUUGUGUGAGAAAUUGAAAA
Molecule: unclassified non-coding RNA, 197 nt
Filed under: soil metagenome
Description: partial internal transcribed spacer 1
Source: RNAcentral